GCCCUUGUAGCUCAGCGGGAACAGAGCGCCGCACUACGAAUGCGGAGGUCCCAGGUUCGAGUCCUGGCAGGGGCGC
RNAcentral lists this transfer RNA (76 nucleotides) under Amycolatopsis sp. CA-230715. RNAcentral describes it as "tRNA-Arg". It matches the Rfam family "tRNA". From Rfam's summary of the family: Transfer RNA (tRNA) molecules are approximately 80 nucleotides in length. Their secondary structure includes four short double-helical elements and three loops (D, anti-codon, and T loops). Further hydrogen bonds mediate the characteristic L-shaped molecular structure. tRNAs have two regions of fundamental functional importance: the anti-codon, which is responsible for specific mRNA codon recognition, and the 3' end, to which the tRNAs corresponding amino acid is attached (by aminoacyl-tRNA synthetases). tRNAs cope with the degeneracy of the genetic code in two manners: having more than one tRNA (with a specific anti-codon) for a particular amino acid; and 'wobble' base-pairing, i.e. permitting non-standard base-pairing at the 3rd anti-codon position. Lineage: Bacteria; Bacillati; Actinomycetota; Actinomycetes; Pseudonocardiales; Pseudonocardiaceae. The record is from RNAcentral.